RNAcentral lists this small nuclear RNA (134 nucleotides) under Stegodyphus mimosarum. RNAcentral's name for it is "U2 spliceosomal RNA". It matches the Rfam family "U2 spliceosomal RNA", at positions 27 to 192 of the family's 192-position model. Rfam says of the family: U2 is a small nuclear RNA (snRNA) component of the spliceosome (involved in pre-mRNA splicing). Complementary binding between U2 snRNA (in an area lying towards the 5' end but 3' to hairpin I) and the branchpoint sequence (BPS) of the intron results the bulging out of an unpaired adenosine, on the BPS, which initiates a nucleophilic attack at the intronic 5' splice site, thus starting the first of two transesterification reactions that mediate splicing. Lineage: Eukaryota; Metazoa; Arthropoda; Arachnida; Araneae; Eresidae. The record is from Rfam by way of RNAcentral.
AUUUCUGUAUCAGUUUAAUAUCUGGUCAAGAUAUUAAACUAAUUUUUGCACAUAGGCUUGUGGUUAGGAAUUUAUUCCACCCCUGCCACGGGUUGGCCUGCUGUUGCACUACUUGGAGGAUCGGCCCACAAAAU